Helicoverpa armigera (cotton bollworm) is the source of this 434-nucleotide long non-coding RNA. RefSeq lists it as uncharacterized. NCBI's taxonomy places the organism in Eukaryota, Metazoa, Arthropoda, Insecta, Lepidoptera, Noctuidae. The record is from RefSeq and is a predicted model, not a curated record. The transcript is spliced from 2 exons.
UGUUACUCCAUAGGGUCGGUAUAUAUACCGUCGUAGGGUAUUAUUGUGACCAUAACCUAGUUUUCAGUACUGAGAGAUCACUGUGAAGAACUAAAACAUGAAAGUAUUAAUAGUUUUGUGUGUGAUGUGCGUUUUGGUGGCUUUUAGUAGUGGGAAAGAAGAGAGGGUCAUCAAAGAUCUGUUGAAAUUCGCCGGCAUGAACCUGACGCACCAUACGCGCCACCAAUGCUGACGCUGCACAGACCUCGGGAGCCUUCAGAACACUCCACAGCCCUGGAUCAUGACAUCGAAGACCAUGACGAUGAUGAUGAAGACUUGGAUGAUUUGAGCGAUGACGAAAUUUCCGUCUAAUUUUCAAGUUCACCUCAACACAAACGUUAGGUUUCUUGAAACAACUGUUUACAAUGGAUUUUCACGUUUCACGGUGCACUUUC